AGCUGAGUUCUCAAUUUUUAACAUUGUGGGAUUCCUUUUGAAUCACCCUGAAUACAGUUUUUCUGUUCUUUACAUCUGUUGUUUCCUAAUAGGUAAUCGAUUACGUCACUUUGGGAGGGGGAGUGAAAAUGGGCAGUCACUCAGUGUCUGAAAAGAGAAAAUACACCCAAUACAGAGGCUAGUAAGGAGCACUUCCAGUGCACAAAGUUAAUGUCUUAACAGUUACUACAGACUUUAAGAAAAUACAUUUCAAAGGAAUAUGACUGACCAGACUUGAUGACUUUAUUAUGACCAACAAAAACACACACACUGCACUUCUGAGGGAAUCUAGUGAUGUUCAACACAUCACAAAAAGAAAGGAACACCAUUUCUUGAAGUGGAGGCAGCGCAAGCAAAAUAGAGGAGGGGUCUGCGUGACCUCCAUCAUCAAGCCAUCUAAUUUCAAAAACACAAUGGCAUCUACAGCCUCAAAGACAAACAACAGUCCUAUUUGGAAACGGACACAGACAAUUAAAGCUGGGAGCCAAGACAAAGAUGAUUUUCAGAUGUCCACUGUCCCAAAGAUAAUCAGCACUCCUACACAAAAGCAGACAACAUCAGUGGCAGCACAGGACCCGGAGACAGGAAGUCAAGACAAAGAUGCUUUGGAGCUAAAACUAUCAA
This is a long non-coding RNA of Danio aesculapii, 663 nucleotides long. RefSeq lists it as uncharacterized. Lineage: Eukaryota; Metazoa; Chordata; Actinopteri; Cypriniformes; Danionidae. The record is from RefSeq and is a predicted model, not a curated record. The transcript is spliced from 5 exons.